GCAGCGGUGCUUGCUUCCGAAUCCGACCGACCAAGAGGCGCCGGCCCGGGCGUCGCUGUCGUCGAUGCCGGAACCGGCGACGGGGCCACGGGGCGACCAUGCGCGUAGACUGCCGCGUCGCGGGCUCGCGGCCACUCUCUCUCCGGUAAGUUCUCUGAGCCACUCGCUAGGUCACUAGUCCGUCUUCAUAGGUGAAGAAUGCAGAGUAAAUACCGCGACAAUCCGCGCAAAAAGAUGCACUCGUAGCGUGCUCAAGUUUUUCGUAAAAAUUGUGUUGCCUAUGUUUUGUCCCUUCCAUUUAUCUUGUGGUAGAGAGGAGAUAUCCCUUCUGGAUUCUGAAUGUCGUUUAGAUGCCACAGUAUAACCCGAGGAGCAAAAAUGGAUUUGAGUUUUUCAGGAACAAGUCUUUCAGGGUGAUUUCUGAUUUGUUCCAUUUUCUUCACAUGUAAGGGCAGAAACACAAAAGGCUAAUUUUUUUAACUGCAAUGAGUACACCAUAUAUUUCAUUGGUAGAGCUACUAAGAAAGCUCAUCGAACUUAUGAUUACAUUGCUGAAAUAGCUAUAGGCAGUGGAAUGUAAACUGCAACAACUCUAGACAAUGCAAUAAACAACUCUAGAAUACUGAGAUGGAAGCAGAAGCCUCCAGCUAUGAUUCCUCUCGAUAAUCGAAAUAGGCUUCAGGUCUUUUGUUUAUUCUGCUCACGCCUGGCCCUGAAAAGAGAGCGGAGUGAUAUCAUUAGCAUUGCAUGUCACUGCACUUUGGGAAUAUGAUUGCUUUCUUCGAAUUGUAGUUCUGUAUUUUUGGGUUCAUAAGAGCAUCUUGGAACGUUGAAGCUUUAAAAAACUGUGAUAUUUUUUUGGAGAUACAGUGUGUAAUAUAAUAAUAUGUAAAGUUUCACAACUAAAGAAAACUUACACUUAAAGAGCCCCAUGUUGAUGCUUAAGAUAGCUGAUUUGUUGGUGGUGGGGAUUGAUAGGAGUGCAGAGGUGGCGUUGGUGCCGACAGAGCUUCAAUUGGAGGUGGUGGAGAGUUGUGCUGGUAAAGAGGAUGUGGAGAUGCUGAAGAUACUGGUGGAGACUUUGCAUGAGGGACACUUGGAUGCAGAUUGUUUGGAGCAUUUGGAGG
Molecule: long non-coding RNA, 1127 nt
Filed under: Setaria italica (foxtail millet)
Lineage: Eukaryota; Viridiplantae; Streptophyta; Magnoliopsida; Poales; Poaceae
Description: long non-coding RNA (SITA_LNC004135)
Source: RNAcentral